GUUGGACCAAUUUUCCUGAUGCCAGAUGGCUCAGCAGACUUUUCAGAUGUUGCUACUCUGUUGUACAUACCAGCUUCAGUUGCUCCACACCCCAAAAGUACAUCCAGCUAGAAAGUGCAUGAAAAGGUCAUUAUUUCAUGGAUUCCUCAGGCAAAACUUCCUCCAUGAAGGAGUUUGACCCUUCCCCAGACUGAGAAGAGGGAGUGUUCCUUCAUUUUUGCCACGCUGGCUGCAGAAGAUCGGGUAGAGGGCUCCAUGACCCCAGCAGAUGUUAGAGCCACCAGAUGAAUGAAACCUCUGUGAAGGACUGUAAGGAUCAGACUCCUUGCCAUCUCCAUGGGACUAUGAUAUGAAAUAGGAGAAAACAAUGAAGAAGAGUAUCUUAGUUUCUGACACAAAGAAGAAGAUGCAGAUCUGUGGUUGGAAUGCUUGGGAUUUAAUUCCGAGGUGACACUUGAUCAAAUGUUCAGCACAGUUAGCUCUCGGACUUCCAGUACUAUACUGAACAACAGUGAUGGGAGUGGACAUCCUUGUCAUGUUCCUGAUCUCAAAGGAAAGACUGUCAGCUUUUCCCCAUUGAGGAUGAUAUUCGCUGUGGGUUUUUCAUAGAUUUUAUGAAGUUGAGGAAUAAAAUAUACAGUGGAAAAAAGAUAGUCUUUUCAAUAAAUGGUGCUGGGAAAAUUGCACAUCUAUAUGUAGAAGAAUGAAACUCGACCAUUCUGUUACCCCACACACAAAGAUAAACUCGAAAUGGAUAAAAGACCUCAUCGUGAGGCAGGAAUCUGUCAGAAUCCUAGAGGAGAACAUAGGCAGUAACCUCUUCGACAUUGGCCACAGCAACUUCUUUCAAGAUAUGUCUCCAAAGCAAAGGAAACAGAAGCGAAAAUGAACUUUUGGGACUUCAUCAAGAUCAAAAGCUUCUGCACAGCAAAGGAAACAGCCAACAAAACAAAGAGGCAACCCAUGGAAUGGGAGAAGAUACUCACAAAUGACACUCUAGACCAAGGGCUGAUAUCCAGGAUCUAUAAAGAACUCCUUAAACUCAACACACACAAAACAGAUAAUCAUGUCAAAAAAUGGGCAAAAGAUGUGGACACUUCUCCAAAGAAGACAUACAAAUGGCUAACAGACACAUGAUUAUCAUUAUCAUCAUCAUUAGCCAUUAGAAACAUUCAAAUCAAAACCACAUUGAGAUACCAACUUACACCAGUUAGAAUGACUAAAAUUAACAAGACAGUGAACAACAAGUGUUGGAGAGGAUGUGGAGAAAGGGGAACCCUCUUACACUGUUGGUGGGAAUGCAAGUUGCUGCAGCCACUUUGGAAAGCAGUGUGGAGAUUCCUUAAGUUACCGUAUGACCCUGCAAUUGCAGUUUACCCUGUAAAUACUAGAUAUUUAUCCCAAAGAUACAGAUGUAGUGAAAAGAAGGGCUACCUGUACCCCAGUGUUCAUAGCAGCAAUGGCCACAGUCACCAAACUGUGGAAAGAAUCAAGAUGCCCUUCAACAGACAAAUGGAUAAAGAAGAUAUGGUCCAUAUAGACAAUGUAGUAUUAUGCCUUUAUCAGAAAGGAUGAAUACCCAACUUUUGUAUCAACAUGGAUGGGACUGGAAGAGAUUAUGCUGAGUGAAAUAAGUCAAGCAGAGAGAGUCAAUUAUCAUAUGGUUUCACUUACUUAUGGAGCAUAAGGAAUAGCAUGGAAGACAAUGGGAGAUUGAGAAGAGAAGUGAGUUGGAAGAAAUUGGAGGCGGAGACAAACCAUGAGAGACUGUGGACUCUGAGAAACAAACUGAGGGUUUUGGAGGGAAGGUGGAGAGUGGGAUGAGCCUGGUGGUGAGUAUUAUGGAGGGCACAUGUUGCAUGGAGCACUGGGUAUGGUGCAUAAACAAUGAAUUUUGGAACACUGAAAAAAAUAAAAGAAAAAAAAGCAUAUGGAACUUAAGGAAAUACUUUAGUCAGGAUUGUGUUUCAGACCAAAGAACCCAGAAACCUGGAGGUGGGACCCAGGCCUGGGUAAUUUUUUUUUUUUAAGAUUUUAUUUAUUUAUUUGACAGAGAGAGAGAGAUCACAAGUAGGCAGAGAGAGAGGUGGAGGAGGAAGCAGGCUCCCUGCCAAGCAGAGAGCCCAAUGUGGGACUCGAUCCCAGGACCCUGAGAUCAUGACCCGAACUGAAGGCAGAGACUUAACCUACUGAGCCACCCGCACCUGACCUGGGUAAUUUUUUAAAAAAUUCCACAGGUAAUUUUAUUUGAUUAUUUUUUUAAAGAUUUUAUUUACUUAUUAGAGAGAGAGAGAGAGAGAGAGCGCGCACUAGCAGUGGGGAGGGACAGAGGCAGUGGGAGAGGGAUAAGCAGACACCCUGCUGAGCAGAGAGCCCAGUGGGUCUCCUUCCUAGGACACUGAGGUCAUGAGCUGAGCCAAAGGCAGAAAUUUAACCAACUGACCCACCCAGGUGCCCCUCUGUAGGUAUUUUUAAUGUGUAGCCAGGGUUAGGAAUCUUUGCUCACAUGAGAUCCUUUGGUGAGGGCGGGUUUGGGGGGGGUUGAAUGUAGGAGGCAGAAAUUCGUGUUUUAACACCCUUCCCAGACAUAUUUUUGAUACAUUCUGAUGCGGUAAUACUCCUGCCCAUUUUUUAACCAGGUUGAAAAUCUCCAGAUGAAAAUGUCCCAAAAGUUAAGACCUGGACAUGGCAUUCCCAAAAGUGAAAUGGUCGGGGACACAUAUCUAGAUUUCUUUUGUGAUUAUCAUUUUCUCCCCCCGCCCUCUACGCCCAUAAUUGUACAGGAGAAGGUCACAUAUCCAGUUGCAAGUUGGGAGCUGCAGUAAGAUAAAGGAGUUGAAAUAAACAUGGUUGAUUCCUUCUGUAUCCUCUUCUCCUGCCCCUUUACUCCUCCUUCUUCUGUACUUGCUGGUACCUGGACCAGAUGGAGAAACUCACUGGCAAAGACAGCCUCUAGCUCCCUGAGAACUUCUCAUAUCUGAGGCCUUUUGAUGUCAAUGACAUGAACUCCAGAAACAGGUCCUUGGAUGCGGGACAAAGAUCUCCAAAUUGGUACACAUAUUUUAUUGAUGAGUCCUAGUUCAUUAGCCUGUGCUGACUUAUAAAGAAGAAUCUUUGACUUGAACUUGAUCUCAUGGCCUCCAGU
This is a long non-coding RNA of Mustela lutreola (European mink), 3145 nucleotides long. RefSeq lists it as uncharacterized. The transcript is spliced from 5 exons. Lineage: Eukaryota; Metazoa; Chordata; Mammalia; Carnivora; Mustelidae. The record is from RefSeq and is a predicted model, not a curated record.